CAGCAGCCGCGGGAAAACGAAGGGUGCAAGCGUUACUCGGAAUUACUGGGCGUAAAGCGUGCGUAGGUGGUGGUUUAAGUCCGUUGUGAAAGCCCUGGGCCCAACCUGGGUAUUGCAGUGGAUACUGGGUCACUAGAGUGUGGUAGAGGAUAGUGGAAUUUCCGGUGUAGCGGUGAAAUGCGUAGAGAUCGGGAGGAACAUCAGUGGCGAAGGCGGCCAUCUGGGACAACACUGACGCUGAGGCACGAAAGCGUGGGGAGCAAACAGGAUUAGAUACCCCCGUAGUCCCUGUCUCUUAUAC
This 301-nucleotide ribosomal RNA is filed under the name uncultured bacterium. RNAcentral's name for it is "partial 16S ribosomal RNA". It matches the Rfam family "Bacterial small subunit ribosomal RNA", at positions 509 to 807 of the family's 1533-position model. The record is from RNAcentral.